UACAGAGGUCUCAAGCGUUGUUCGGAUUCAUUGGGCGUAAAGGGCGCGUAGGCGGUAGCACAAGUCAGUUGUGAAAUCUCCGGGCUUAACUCGGAAAGGUCAACUGAUACUGUGCGACUAGAGUGCAGAAGGGGCAACUGGAAUUCUCGGUGUAGCGGUGAAAUGCGUAGAUAUCGAGAGGAACACCUGCGGCGAAGGCGGGUUGCUGGGCUGACACUGACGCUGAGGCGCGAAAGCUAGGGGAGCGAACGGG
This 253-nucleotide ribosomal RNA is filed under the name uncultured bacterium. RNAcentral describes it as "partial 16S ribosomal RNA". It matches the Rfam family "Bacterial small subunit ribosomal RNA", at positions 524 to 776 of the family's 1533-position model. The record is from RNAcentral.